This 23-nucleotide non-coding RNA is filed under the name Cricetulus griseus (Chinese hamster). The record is from RNAcentral. Lineage: Eukaryota; Metazoa; Chordata; Mammalia; Rodentia; Cricetidae.
UGUAGUGAUGCUUUCCUCUGAGC